RNAcentral lists this ribosomal RNA (451 nucleotides) under uncultured Thalassiosira. Its description in RNAcentral is "partial Bacterial large subunit ribosomal RNA". It matches the Rfam family "Bacterial large subunit ribosomal RNA", at positions 54 to 515 of the family's 2925-position model. Lineage: Eukaryota; Bacillariophyta; Thalassiosirophyceae; Thalassiosirales; Thalassiosiraceae. The record is from RNAcentral.
GGACGUGAUAAGCUGCGAUAAGCUGUGGGAAGGUGCAAAUGACCGUUGAUCCGCAGAUUUCCGAAUGGGACAACCCGGCAGGUUGAAGACCUGUCAUCCUGCUAAGCAGGAGGCUAACGAGGGGAACUGAAACAUCUUAGUACCCUCAGGAAAAGAAAAUAACAAUGAUUCCCCCAGUAGUGGCGAGCGAACGGGGAAGAGCCCAAACCGUGGAGGUCUCGGCCUUCACGGGGUUGUAGGACCACGACGUUGGACUUGGUUCGAUUAGAGGAACGUUUUGGAAAGAACGACCAUAGAGAGUGACAGUCUCGUACUCGACAAUCGAAUCGGCCAUAGUGGUAUCCUGAGUAGGGCGGGACACGUGAAAUCCUGUCUGAAUCCGGCGGGCCCAUCCGCCAAGGCUAAAUACUCGUAAGAGACCGAUAGCGAACCAGUACCGUGAGGGAAAGGU